CACAAAGGUUUGGUCCUAGCCUUAAAAUCAGUUACCACUUAACCUACACAUGCAAGUCUCCGCAUCCCUGUGAGAACGCCCCCAAGCCCUCCUGAGCCAAAGGGGACUGGUAUCAGGCACAAUUCUGCCCAAGACACCUAGCUUCGCCACACCCACAAGGGCCUUCAGCAGUGACUAAUAUUGAAUAUAAGCAACAGCUUGAUUCAGUUAAGGUAAAAAGGGCCGGCAAAUCUGGUGCCAGCCGCCGCGGUUACACCAGCGGCCCAAAUUGAUUUAUGCCGGCGUAAAGAGUGGUUAAACAUUAUACAAAACUAGAGCUAAACAUAGACUGACCCGUCAAACAUCUGUCUAGAGGAAACCCAUAUAACGAAAGUUGCCCUAUUUAAUUCUAAUUGAGCCCACGAAAGCCUGGACACAAACUGGGAUCAGAUACCCCACUAUACCUUGCUGUAAACUUUAACUUACACCCCUAAUCGCCAGGGAACUACGAGCAAAGCUUAAAACCCAAAGGACUUGACGGUGCCCCAUACCCCCUAGAGGAGCCUGUCCUAUAAUCGAUGAUCCCCGUUGAACCUCACCACUUCUAGCCUAUCAGCUUGUAUACUUCCGUCGCCAGCCUACCACGUGAGCGAAAUUCAGUUAGUUCAAUUGGCCCAAUUUCCCUAACACCGCCAAUACGUCAGGUCAAAGUGCAGCAAAUGAAGUGGGAAGAGAUUGGCUACACUUUUUAAUAUAAAAAAUAACGGAAAACAAUAAUGAAACUUUGUCAGAAGGUGGAUUUAGCAGUAAAAAGAAUUCAAAACAUUCCUUUUAAGUUGGCACUGGAGCGUGUACACACCGCCCGUCACCCUCUUCGAUAAAACCUAAUGUAGUAUUUAACAACUUAUCAUACCCCCGAGAAGAGGUAAGUCGUAACAUGGUAAGUAUACCGGAAGGUGUACUUGGAAA
This 948-nucleotide non-coding RNA is filed under the name Eleutherodactylus abbotti. RNAcentral's name for it is "12S ribosomal RNA". It matches the Rfam family "Bacterial small subunit ribosomal RNA". Lineage: Eukaryota; Metazoa; Chordata; Amphibia; Anura; Eleutherodactylidae. The record is from RNAcentral.